Molecule: transfer RNA, 72 nt
Filed under: Rosellinia necatrix
Lineage: Eukaryota; Fungi; Ascomycota; Sordariomycetes; Xylariales; Xylariaceae
Description: tRNA-Arg
Rfam family: tRNA
About the family: Transfer RNA (tRNA) molecules are approximately 80 nucleotides in length. Their secondary structure includes four short double-helical elements and three loops (D, anti-codon, and T loops).
Source: RNAcentral
GGCCGGUUGGCGUAAUGGCAACGCGUCAGUUUCCGGUGCUGAAGAUUGCGGGUUCGAGUCCCGUGCUGGUCG